RNAcentral lists this non-coding RNA (197 nucleotides) under Neobacillus vireti LMG 21834. RNAcentral describes it as "Bacillus vireti LMG 21834 6S / SsrS RNA". It matches the Rfam family "6S / SsrS RNA". From Rfam's summary of the family: E. coli 6S RNA was the first non coding RNA to be sequenced, but its function was unknown until recently. It consists of 184 nucleotides that fold into an extended hairpin structure with a large single-stranded internal bulge. Lineage: Bacteria; Bacillati; Bacillota; Bacilli; Caryophanales; Bacillaceae. The record is from Rfam by way of RNAcentral.
AGAGUCCUGAGAUGUACGUUGUGUUACCUGAAGUUUUGACCGAACAUUAUUUAUCCGGGAGUCUGAGUUUUCUGAUUGCGUAAAUGCCCCACCCUAUGACGGGUAAGGGGACUUACAAUACCGGAAACAGGACACCCACCUGCUGAGAGCGGGAUCAAAACUAAGGACCUAGAAGCAACGGCACCAUUGGGACUCUU